This 404-nucleotide ribosomal RNA is filed under the name Verrucomicrobiota bacterium. RNAcentral describes it as "Verrucomicrobia bacterium partial 16S ribosomal RNA". It matches the Rfam family "Bacterial small subunit ribosomal RNA", at positions 355 to 776 of the family's 1533-position model. The record is from RNAcentral. Lineage: Bacteria; Pseudomonadati; Verrucomicrobiota.
UGGGGAAUAUUGCACAAUGGGGGAAACCCUGAUGCAGCGACGCCGCGUGAGCGAUGAAGGCUUUCGAGUCGUAAAGCUCUGUCCUAUGGGAAGAUAAUGACGGUACCAUAGAAGAAAGCCCCGGCUAAUUACGUGCCAGCAGCCGCGGUAAUACGUAAGGGGCGAGCGUUGUCCGGAAUUAUUGGGCGUAAAGAGUGCGUAGGCGGCAAAUUAAGUCAGAUGUGAAAACUAUGGGCUCAACCCAUAGAUUGCAUCUGAAACUGAUAUGCUUGAGUCAAGGAGAGGAAAGUGGAAUUCCUAGUGUAGCGGUGGAAUGCGUAGAUAUUAGGAGGAAUACCGGUGGCGAAGGCGACUUUCUGGACUUGAACUGACGCUGAGGCACGAAAGCGUGGGGAGCAAACAGG